This 417-nucleotide unclassified non-coding RNA is filed under the name Melitaea cinxia (Glanville fritillary). RNAcentral's name for it is "misc RNA ENSMCXG00005014815.1". The record is from RNAcentral. Lineage: Eukaryota; Metazoa; Arthropoda; Insecta; Lepidoptera; Nymphalidae.
CGAGUAUGUAGAGAAACUGAAAGAAAGUUUUAAAGGCAUAGAAGAGAUAGGUGUGAUUGAAGAUUUGUGGGAUAAAUUUAAGAAAGGGGUCGUGAAUGUUGCUAUCGAGGUAUGCGGGGUAGGUAAAAGAAGGAAAAGAAGAAAUAACUAUAAUGUGUGGAUGGAUAAAGAUGUACAAAAGGCUGUGCAAGAAAAGAAGAAAGCAUGCUUGGAUUGGUUAGCGACAAAAGCUAACCAAAAAGUUCAAAAGGCAACGGAUGACGAGAUAAAGGAAGCAAGAACGAAAGGAUGAUUUUGAUAGAAGGCUCACUGAAGAUUUCCAGUCAAACAUCAAGUUUUUCUGGAAAUCCAUCAAAACUGCUAGAGGAAAAACCUCUACCUCGGAACUGAAGUACCCUAAACCGAAGAGCAUGUAUG